GGAUGCUAUCAUACCAGCACUAAAGCACGGGAUCCCAUCAGAACUCCGAAGUUAAGCGUGGUUGGGCGAGAGUAGUACUAGGAUCGGUGACCUCCUGGGAAGUCCGUGCUUGGGCGAGAGUAGUACUAGGAUGGGUGACCUCCUGGGAAGUCCUCGUGUUGCAUUCC
This 167-nucleotide ribosomal RNA is filed under the name Aegilops tauschii subsp. strangulata. The record is from RNAcentral. Lineage: Eukaryota; Viridiplantae; Streptophyta; Magnoliopsida; Poales; Poaceae.